CAAAAUGUAGCUUAACUAAAGCCCCUCGCUUACACCGAGAUAAUAUCCGUUAAACUCAGAUCAUUUUG
RNAcentral lists this transfer RNA (68 nucleotides) under Alytes obstetricans boscai. Its description in RNAcentral is "tRNA-Val". It matches the Rfam family "tRNA". Rfam says of the family: Transfer RNA (tRNA) molecules are approximately 80 nucleotides in length. Lineage: Eukaryota; Metazoa; Chordata; Amphibia; Anura; Alytidae. The record is from RNAcentral.